Molecule: long non-coding RNA, 535 nt
Organism: Drosophila serrata
Lineage: Eukaryota; Metazoa; Arthropoda; Insecta; Diptera; Drosophilidae
Source: RefSeq, a predicted model, not a curated record
AAUUGCAAAUUAUUUCUGCUUAAAUAAGAAGCUUGAGCUUGAGUCAGUGAAGACUAGUUUCUAAGGAAAAACUUACGUCUUACAUAAUUUGCGGAAAGUGCAUGCAAACUCUUAUUGAGUAACAACAACGAAGAGCUUCUUUUCGCAUGAAUUUCUUAUGUGCGCGUUGCGCCUGCGCAGAAUUAUCAACUCAAAAGUUUUUUCAAUUGAGUGCUUAAUAAGUAUAAACAAAAAAUACCAACUUUACUGAGAAGUAGAAUCAGGAGCUGGCUGGAGUUACUGGUUUUGAUUCCGGCUUGAAGGCAAAGAAGAUAAGAGGCCAAAAGCCUCAGUAACAAACAGGUUUUCCCUAUUAAGUUGAAGGGCUCGGAACAAGUCGAUAUGACCCUUCCCAUUGUCCAAAGACAAAGGCGAGUAGGAUCUGCGCGGUGGAGUUUCAUGGACAAGCCAAGUGAGGAAUUGGAAGUCGAAAUAAUAUUCGAUUAAUAUAAAAAAUAAACAUACCCAAGCUUUGUACAUAAUAUAAUUCAAUUUU